AGGCUAUGAAUCAUCUUGUAUCAAGCCUCAGCUACAAAGGAAGUUCAAAGCUAGGCCAGGGUACUUGAAAUCCUGUCCCAAAAAAGUUUUCAAAGAAGUGGAUGGGGAGAUGGUUGAGUCAAUGAAAUGCCAACAAGGAAGCAUAGGCAACUUUCUAUCUCAGAUUCUAUUUACCAGGAACAUGACCUGAGACAGUAGAAACCAAGAAUGGACCAGGUAUUUGAGAGGCACAGGAAAAUGAUUAUAUAUGAAGACUGUGGAGCUGGUUGACUACUUGUUGGAUACUAUUUAAAAGAAAACAAAAGAUGCACAGUCAUUGUUGACUGAACAAUGAAUACAUUUUAAUAUGUAAUCUACUGUUUGCUACAAGAACUCAGAAGAAAUAACACAUUUAAUUAAAUGCAUCAGAACUUCAGAGGUAUCAACACACUCUUCAAAGGAUCCAGGGGAAAACACCAAUUACACAUUCCAGUAAACAUGCCCAUAGUAGACUGGAGAUUAUUAGUUAACACUCCAAUCAACCCAACAAACAUUUUUUGAGCCUAUACAUCAUGCACGAGGACUAUCUCUGUGAGGAAUACAAAG
Molecule: long non-coding RNA, 585 nt
Filed under: Cricetulus griseus (Chinese hamster)
Lineage: Eukaryota; Metazoa; Chordata; Mammalia; Rodentia; Cricetidae
Description: lncRNA (ENSCGRG00015043423.1)
Source: RNAcentral